This 470-nucleotide ribosomal RNA is filed under the name uncultured bacterium. Its description in RNAcentral is "bacterial SSU rRNA". It matches the Rfam family "Bacterial small subunit ribosomal RNA", at positions 56 to 518 of the family's 1533-position model. The record is from RNAcentral.
UGCAAGUCGAACGGAGUUAAGCGCUGAAUUGAAGGUAGCUUGCUACUGGAUUUCUGCUAACUAGUGGCGGACGGGUGAGUAACGCGUGAGUAACCUGCCUCUCGAGUGGGGAAUAACGCCCUGAAAAGAGCGCUAAUACCGCAUAAUAUAUUUUUGCCGCAUGACAGGAAUAUCAAAGAUUUAUCGCUGAGAGAUGGACUCGCGUCCGAUUAGCUAGUUGGCGGGGUAACGGCCCACCAAGGCGACGAUCGGUAGCCGGACUGAGAGGUUGAACGGCCACAUUGGGACUGAGACACGGCCCAGACUCCUACGGGAGGCAGCAGUGGGGGAUAUUGCGCAAUGGGGGAAACCCUGACGCAGCAACGCCGCGUGGAGGAUGACGGUUUUCGGAUUGUAAACUCCUUUUAUAAGGGACGAACUAAGACGGUACCUUAUGAAUAAGCUCCGGCUAACUACGUGCCAGCAGCAGC